This is a long non-coding RNA of Oryza brachyantha (malo sina), 418 nucleotides long. RefSeq lists it as uncharacterized. The transcript has 3 exons. The record is from RefSeq and is a predicted model, not a curated record. NCBI's taxonomy places the organism in Eukaryota, Viridiplantae, Streptophyta, Magnoliopsida, Poales, Poaceae.
CGCCACCCGCACACCAAUCCACCCCAGCCACGCUGCGACCUCGGCGCCGGCGCGCCGCCAACACCCCCGUCAGCCGGAUCCACCUCCACAUAUGCCCCGCCGCCGCGCCUCUCCGAGCUCAGGCCUUGGCCCUCCCCCGCGCGCACGGCCGAAGCGACGAGCCACCGCCGACAGAAACCCCGGCUGCAGAAUCCCCUUCGGAGGCACCUCGACAGUCGCCUCCCUCGAGUGAAACAGAUAGGGCACCUGAACUGAAGGUGUGGUGAGAUGGAAUGAUGAGCACUUGACGGUAUAACGAACUCGUGGUGAAACCCAUUUGCAUGAAGAAGCUACAUGUGUGCCAUCUGUUCAACAGAAAGAUUUUCCGGGGGUUGAUGUUGAAGCUUUUUCUGAGAAGAAUCUUCACCAAUCACCCAGC